This 465-nucleotide ribosomal RNA is filed under the name Vreelandella stevensii. RNAcentral's name for it is "partial 16S ribosomal RNA". It matches the Rfam family "Bacterial small subunit ribosomal RNA", at positions 338 to 795 of the family's 1533-position model. The record is from RNAcentral. Lineage: Bacteria; Pseudomonadati; Pseudomonadota; Gammaproteobacteria; Oceanospirillales; Halomonadaceae.
CCUACGGGGGGCAGCAGUGGGGAAUAUUGGACAAUGGGGGCAACCCUGAUCCAGCCAUGCCGCGUGUGUGAAGAAGGCCCUCGGGUUGUAAAGCACUUUCAGUGAGGAAGAACGCCUGGUGGUUAAUACCCAUCAGGAAAGACAUCACUCACAGAAGAAGCACCGGCUAACUCCGUGCCAGCAGCCGCGGUAACACGGAGGGUGCGAGCGUUAAUCGGAAUUACUGGGCGUAAAGCGCGCGUAGGUGGCUUGAUAAGCCGGUUGUGAAAGCCCCGGGCUCAACCUGGGAACGGCAUCCGGAACUGUCAAGCUAGAGUGCAGGAGAGGAAGGUAGAAUUCCCGGUGUAGCGGUGAAAUGCGUAGAGAUCGGGAGGAAUACCAGUGGCGAAGGCGGCCUUCUGGACUGACACUGACACUGAGGUGCGAAAGCGUGGGUAGCAAACAGGAUUAGAUACCCGAGUAGUC